GACGAACGCUGGCGGCGUGCUUAACACAUGCAAGUCGAACGGAAAGGCCCUGCUUUUGUGGGGGGCUCGAGUGGCGAACGGGUGAGUAACACGUGAGUAACCUGCCCUUGACUUUGGGAUAACUUCAGGAAACUGGGGCUAAUACCGGAUAGGAGCUCCUGCUGCAUGGUGGGGGUUGGAAAGUUUCGGCGGUUGGGGAUGGACUCGCGGCUUAUCAGCUUGUUGGUGGGGUAGUGGCUUACCAAGGCUUUGACGGGUAGCCGGCCUGAGAGGGUGACCGGCCACAUUGGGACUGAGAUACGGCCCAGACUCCUACGGGAGGCAGCAGUGGGGAAUAUUGCACAAUGGGCGGAAGCCUGAUGCAGCAACGCCGCGUGCGGGAUGACGGCCUUCGGGUUGUAAACCGAUUUCGCCUGUGACGAAGCGUGAGUGACGGUAAUGGGUAAAGAAGCACCGGCUAACUACGUG
RNAcentral lists this ribosomal RNA (468 nucleotides) under uncultured bacterium. RNAcentral's name for it is "partial 16S ribosomal RNA". It matches the Rfam family "Bacterial small subunit ribosomal RNA", at positions 28 to 507 of the family's 1533-position model. The record is from RNAcentral.